UGGAACCUGGAGUAGUGAGCGAGCCCAGGUUCUCCUAGCAGCCCCCGAUGGAAUGGCACUGCCUGGAUAGCGGGUCCAAUGCGGUUAGGAGUCUCAGAAGGGGAACGCACAUAGUGACCGGGGUGGAGGGCCAAGUCAUGAAAAGGAAGCUACAGCUGCUGGAGCGGGAGAAGGGCCACAAAAUGAGAGGACAGCAUAUUGAGAGACUACAAGUGGAGGUGUUGGACCUGGAAGAGAGCUAUUCCCCAGAGCAGUCGGGGGAGGCACCCGAGCGUGCAGGAGAUUUCUGACCUGGUCACUGGUCCACCAACCACGCAAAAAUAAAGAAGUCACUGGGAUUGAGACUGGGAAACGCCACUCGGGAAGAAUUCCAGACUGGAGGCCCGAUGUCUUCAGGACGUGUAUUACAUCAUUGAACCAGAGACAGCGUGAGCCUAACAAUUGCAAUCAUUGUCAAGUUUUCUUUCUGACAUGAA
Long non-coding RNA from Chelonia mydas (Green sea turtle), 476 nucleotides. RefSeq lists it as uncharacterized. The transcript is spliced from 3 exons. Lineage: Eukaryota; Metazoa; Chordata; Testudines; Cheloniidae. The record is from RefSeq and is a predicted model, not a curated record.